CUACGGGGUGCAGCAGUAGGGAAUCUUCCACAAUGGGCGAAAGCCUGAUGGAGCAACGCCGCGUGAGUGAAGAAGGUUUUCGGAUCGUAAAACUCUGUUGUAAGGAAAGAACAAGUACAGUAGUAACUGGCUGUACCUUGACGGUACCUUAUUAGAAAGCCACGGCUAACUACGUGCCAGCAGCCGCGGUAAUACGUAGGUGGCAAGCGUUGUCCGGAAUUAUUGGGCGUAAAGCGCGCGCAGGCGGUCCUUUAAGUCUGAUGUGAAAGCCCACGGCUCAACCGGGGAGGGUCAUUGGAAACUGGGGGACUUGAGUGCAGAAGAGGAAAGUGGAAUUCCAAGUGUAGCGGUGAAAUGCGUAGAGAUUUGGAGGAACACCAGUGGCGAAGGCGACUUUCUGGUCUGUAACUGACGCUGAGGCGCGAAAGCGUGGGGAGCAAACAGGAUUAGAUACCCCGGUAGUC
Molecule: ribosomal RNA, 464 nt
Filed under: uncultured bacterium
Lineage: Bacteria
Description: partial 16S ribosomal RNA
Rfam family: Bacterial small subunit ribosomal RNA
Source: RNAcentral